Molecule: long non-coding RNA, 1511 nt
Filed under: Bos indicus x Bos taurus (hybrid cattle)
Lineage: Eukaryota; Metazoa; Chordata; Mammalia; Artiodactyla; Bovidae
Description: lncRNA (ENSBIXG00000012384.1)
Source: RNAcentral
GGAGGAGACCUAGGAGCCAGCCAGCGAGCGUGGUUAGGAGGGCUCCAGAAAGGCCUGAGUCAGGCUUCUCAUAAUAAACUGCACGUGAAUAAUUCAGCACCAGCGCGCGGGGGCUCAUUGCAUUAGCGCCUCACCUUCCGGCUGAGGGGAAGGCGGGGAGGGGGGUCACUAACGCGCUUGACGAGGGAGCCAGAUAGAAGACUCCUGCCUACUAGCAUCCUGGGUUCUGCCCGGCCCAAUCCCAGGAGACUCAUUAGUCCCCCGAAUGCCUCCGGCCCCACCGGUCAGAGGGCGCCUAUUGGGCAGGGCUGUCCCAGCGAAGCCGCUCUUAAGAUCCCAGGCAAGAGAAAACAGGCAGCGGGACCAGGGCCGGAAUAGGGGAGGAAGGGGCCCGACCUGUGGGCAACUGAGCUGCGGCAAUGCCCAGUCGCGCUGAAAACGUGGGCGGAGUGGCUCUGAGCAAAGAGGAGAAGGCGGGCUCCUGUGCUCAGAGCCCGGGUGCCCAGGGGCUGCCUUCGUCUGGGCCGGGAUUUUCCUUGUGCUCAGAAUGGGGCUCCAGGGACGCUGAGGGACUUUUCACCCACGGUGGAUCCCCAGGUUGUGCUUCUUCCCCCACCCCACCCCCACUGACCCACCCACCCAUAGACCCGGGCGGCAGCCCACCCUCGUGCCCCCACCUCGCGUCAGCCGGCGCUGAAAGGAGCACCGGAGGCCCGCUAGGCCUGUUGUUCUCCGACUCUGCGACCCCAUGGACUGCAGCAGGCCAGGCUUCCCUGUCCUUCACCAUCUCCUGGAGCUUGCUCAAAUUCAUGUCCAUUGAGUCGGUGUUGCCAUCCAACGAUCUCCUGCUCUGUUGUCCCCUUCUCCUCCUGCCUUCAGUCUUUCCCAGAAUCGGGGUCUUGUCUAAAUGCACACCACCUUCAGCCUUAUUUCGUUUGAGCAGAGCCAGCUUCCUCUGGCUUUUCCACUUUCCACCAGCCCCUGGGUUUCUGAUCUUGAGGGUUUGCAUUCAUCCCGUCCAACAUCCACUGUCGCUUGAUUCCUCCGGCUCUUCUCCAGAACCGUUCACUUCCAGGCAGUCGGCCCCGCCCUCUCUCCAUCAGCCUCCCCACUCCUACGAAGUGAACCUCGGGCCGCUGGAGACCCUCGAGCUGACACCAGUGGCCCUUCGGGGCCGGCGCGACCGAGGCCCCCGUCUGGUCUCCGGAGGUCUUGGGCAGCCCGACGAGAAGUCCGGCCGAAGGCACCUCGCGUCCCUCCCUCCCUGCUUAUCCCUCCUUCCCUGCCUUAUCCCUCCUUCCACCCCAGCAGAAUCCUCGUCUUCUGCCGCCGCCUCCUCCUCUUCCUCCGUCUCUACGCAUUUGUUUUUCUUGGUUGGGUGCCUUGGGCUUCCGGAGGCCAGGCCGCUGGGGACCAGGCAGGCUGGGGUGUCUUUGCAGAGGCAAGUGAGGACUGAUGGCACCUGGACCCCAGACGGCUCCACCACUGCCCCUCAGUGUGUUCUUGGCUGA